This 69-nucleotide transfer RNA is filed under the name Halocynthia papillosa. RNAcentral's name for it is "transfer RNA-Ile". Lineage: Eukaryota; Metazoa; Chordata; Ascidiacea; Stolidobranchia; Pyuridae. The record is from RNAcentral.
UAUGAUGUGCCGGAGAAAACGGAAUGUUUUGAUAAAGCAUAAAUGUGUAGUUAAAAUACACCUUCAUAA